Cydia pomonella (codling moth) is the source of this 195-nucleotide long non-coding RNA. RefSeq lists it as uncharacterized. The record is from RefSeq and is a predicted model, not a curated record. NCBI's taxonomy places the organism in Eukaryota, Metazoa, Arthropoda, Insecta, Lepidoptera, Tortricidae. The transcript has 2 exons.
GAAUGGAAUCUCCAUAUACCAAAAAGUAUCAUCAAAAAACCUUAAAUAGGUGGCGCUACAAUACCUAGAAUACUUGAAAAAAAAAUCAAAUCAUAGACAGCGCACUUCACUCCGUCAAUAACGCCUAGGUUCUUAGCUACUCUAGCGCUACUCUGGAGAAAUUUGGAACUAUUAUUUAUAGCUGACCACUGGACA